AGAUGCCGCCCUGUUUCAGGUGCCUUAUGCCGCCGUGCAUAGGGUGAAACGGGAAACCGGUACGCUCGUUCGAGCAAGUCCGGUGCUGCCCCCGCAACGGUAUUCGCGUGGCCCCUUCGACACACCACUGUGGCCAGAGCGCCAUGGGAAGGUGAAGGGUUCGAUACGCGAGAGCCCGGAGACCGGCCUGGAAUUUCUGUUUGGC
This 205-nucleotide non-coding RNA is filed under the name Pseudomonas brenneri. Lineage: Bacteria; Pseudomonadati; Pseudomonadota; Gammaproteobacteria; Pseudomonadales; Pseudomonadaceae. The record is from RNAcentral.